GUGAGGAGGGAGGACGCCAAGGAGCUGCAGGGAAAAGGCCUGUCCAAGGCUAUAGGCAGAUGUAUACGUCUCGCCCUGAAAACGGGGGAGGCCGCGGCAGCCAGUAACCCAUAUACUAUGUGGAAUAAUAGAAAUGGGAGAGAUCUGUCAAUCAAUCCAUGUCAGGCCCAGACAAGCCAGGGGGGGAAAAGAUCUUGCGAUUAUGUCUCCAAAUUGCGGAUCCACAAAACAUCGAUACUGGGUGUGUGCAUUCCGCAUUAUGCAGAACAGUCCUAUCCUUGUCUGUCAUGCGGACAAUAAAAUGACAUGGUCUAUCAUUUUGCAGAAUGGCCAUGCGGACAUACAGACACAGAGUCAAAUAUUAUUAAUUUUAUAUUUUAAGCACGCCCCCUGUCUCCUCUUGUUAGAUUGAGAGCCUGCAGUGUGGCCGGGAUCGCAUAGGUCUCGCUCAUGCGCUCCUUGGUAAGGCACAAUCCUGUCUCCGGCUGCCGCUGUUAGCUGGGUUUCAGCGGCGCAUGCGCAAGACUUAUGGCAUCCUGGCCGCACUGCAGGCUGUCAAUCUAACAAAAGAGGGGACAGUUAGGGGGCAUGCUUACCUAGACUCGAAGCAAGGAAGCCUCAUUUGCAUACGACCUGCGAGGGAAUAAAAGUUGUUUUACAGCGAUCAUGAACCUCAGACAUCUUACACAAGAACAUCAUUAGAAGCCUGAUGUUAACAGCUUUAAGGUACUGCUGGCGGUUUAUGAUCCAUUUUGGUGCUGACAGGUUCCCUUUAAAGAGGACCUUUCAUGUUUUUCUUUUCUUUUAAAUAAAUACCUUUCCUUGUGAAGUA
Molecule: long non-coding RNA, 832 nt
Organism: Bufo gargarizans (Asiatic toad)
Lineage: Eukaryota; Metazoa; Chordata; Amphibia; Anura; Bufonidae
Exons: 3
Source: RefSeq, a predicted model, not a curated record